This 492-nucleotide ribosomal RNA is filed under the name uncultured bacterium. RNAcentral describes it as "partial 16S ribosomal RNA". It matches the Rfam family "Bacterial small subunit ribosomal RNA", at positions 29 to 507 of the family's 1533-position model. The record is from RNAcentral.
AGUGAACGCUGGCGGUAGGCCUAACACAUGCAAGUCGAACGGCAGCACAGUAAGAGCUUGCUCUUACGGGUGGCGAGUGGCGGACGGGUGAGGAAUACAUCGGAAUCUACUUUUUCGUGGGGGAUAACGUAGGGAAACUUACGCUAAUACCGCAUACGACCUACGGGUGAAAGCAGGGGAUCUUCGGACCUUGCGCGAUUGAAUGAGCCGAUGUCGGAUUAGCUAGUUGGCGGGGUGAAGGCCCACCAGGGCGACGAUCCGUAGCUGGUCUGAGAGGAUGAUCAGCCACACUGGAACUGAGACACGGUCCAGACUCCUACGGGAGGCGGCAGUGGGGAAUAUUGGACAAUGGGCGCAAGCCUGAUCCAGCCAUACCGCGUGGGUGAAGAAGGCCUUCGGGUUGUAAAGCCCUUUUGUUGGGAAAGAAAAGCAGCAGGUUAAUACCCCGCUGUUCUGACGGUACCCAAAGAAUAAGCACCGGCUAACUUCGUG